Macadamia integrifolia is the source of this 4175-nucleotide long non-coding RNA. RefSeq lists it as uncharacterized. NCBI's taxonomy places the organism in Eukaryota, Viridiplantae, Streptophyta, Magnoliopsida, Proteales, Proteaceae. The transcript is spliced from 2 exons. The record is from RefSeq and is a predicted model, not a curated record.
UUGAGGUUAUCGGAUGAUGAUGAUGAUGAUGAUGAUGAUGAAGAAUAAAUAAAUUAAUAAAAAAAAAAAAAAAAAAGAGGCAAGUCGAACCGAUUGAAUCCCGCCAAUCUUCCGCCGACUCUAUUAUUCAAAAUCUCAUGACCGUUUUAUCAAGAAAACAAAAAGGUCACCUCAUGACCGUUUUAUCAAGAAAAACGAAAUAGAAACCUCGUGACCGCCUAAACAAUUGAAGAAAUCCCCAACUCUUCAGAUCUAAACCCUCAACCGCCUCAAGUCUCAAGAGUGAAAAUGAGCGAGAGCUGGGGCUUGCUAGUCCCUUCUUUAACUUCAAAUCCGAUUUUAUCAUUUAUUUGUUUGAUGAUCGUGAAGGCCUCGAGCUCUUGGGAGAUUGGAAGUGCCAUGGUAUUCUCCUUCUCUCUCGAUUCUGAAAUACACUUUGCUUUCUUUCUUUCCUUUCUGUUUCUCAAGUCUCACCACCAAAGGAAACCUAUCUUUCUAUCACGUCGCAUUCUUCGAGUUAAUCAUAGAGUGAGAAAUCCGUUCAAAUGUCGUCGAAAUCUUCCGAUCGUUCCGACAGGCAGCCGCCGUCUGCAUCCACUUAGAGGAGCGCCGCCGGACAUCCUCCGUGCGUUCUAAAGUAUCUUCCGCCGAAUGUUCUGUUGUGAACAAUGCAAGAGCUUCCUACUCCAAUGCCGAUGGCGAAGGUUCCUCUCUCUCUCUCCUUGCAAAUUCAUAUGCAUGUGGAAUUGGCACAAAGUUUUCCUUCACCAGGUGGUGAAAUCCGCCACCUGCAUCCUAGGGUUCACAAACCCUCAACCCCUAUAGGGUUUUAGACCAGGUGGUGAAGUUCACCACCGCCAUCCUAAGGUUCACAAACCCUAAACCGUAUUAGAACCUGUCCCAAAAACCCCUCAUGAUACCCCAUUUGUGCAUAUAAAGCAUCCAUGGUGAAUGGUUUGCCUUUGGAAAACUUGGUCCCAAUUUUUAUGUGGUUGAUGAUGAUGCACAUUACAUAAAACUCGAAAGUUUUCUCUGUACCCGAGUUGCUUUAUGUUUCUACCUCCCAUUGCCCUCUGUAGCCUCAAAUAUUUGUGGAUUACAAACGACCUAUCAACUACCCAGUCUUAUGUACGACCGUUUGAUAUCAACCCCAAAUCAGGGGGUUUGGGCUUUUAAUGCCCUUUUAGAAUUAUUUUGUUUUAGCUAUUUGCUAGCAAUUGUCGAUUAUCAAGUCUCUGUUGAACUGUAAUUUUCAACUCAAAACUAAACAUGCUGCAUCGUAGAGUCUGGACUAUAUUUAUGAAAUGAUAGGGAAGCAAAUUUUACAGAAAACGUUGUUAUCAUGUUAUGGAACAAUGUGCAGGACCAAAGUACUCAUUACCACUGUUUUGUAGAGUAAGGGGGGAGGGCUGUUUGAAGAAAGAAAAAGGGAAAAAUAAGAUAACUGUUCAUAUAUUCUGAGACGUUGCUUGCAAAUCAUCAUGGGAAGACCACACGGUAUUUUGUGUAUUUUUUCCUUAUUUGAUUGAAUUAAGGUUAUUUACAUCUCAUUAUAUGAAAUAGAUAUUGUUAGUUGAACAAUAGUUAUCUGUUUGGGACUUGGGAUUAGCUGGUGUAAUUUUUUAGAAUGGGAUUUCCAAAGGAUGCAGUUAUGUGUCUUGAGUACUGCUUUUGUUUGAUAGGAUGAAAUCUAUUUGUCAACUACUUCAUGCGUGUAAAUUAAAUCCCAUGACAUUCUUGGAAAGUACAAGCCAGACGAUCUUGAACAGCUCACUGGAUUCACCUUACCAUAAGCCAAGUUUACAAAAUUGGACAUAACUCCACUCUGCAAAACACCUUAUCCAAAGUAAACAGGGUCAGUUUUGCAAAUCCUGUUUUACCAUUCCAUAAUCCACCCUUUCUAUAGACAUAUCAGCAAUUUGCUCAUAAUUGCUCAUGUAAUGUCAAAAGUUAGGCUCGGACGUCCUUUGGUGAUUGUUUAUGCUAUCAGGAACAUCCUGAGCAUUUUGUUGGGCAGGGUUAGAAGCAAGUUGGUACUUUUGUUGUUUACCAUAGAAAAAAAGAAUCUAAAGUUAAGCUUGCAUUCUCAUCAAUCCUUUCUGUUGGACUUUAGAAAUGACUUUGUUAAUGGCUCCUUGUCAAAGUUCAAGAAUAAAGAAACAUUUUUCGGGAAGUGUCUCAUUUUGAUAAGCUUUCUUACUACAGAGCCAGGAAGGGUGCGAGUUGCUGUCAGACUUCGACCAAAAUAUCUGAAGAUAACAUUUCUGAUUCUGAUUUUUCUGAUUGUGUUGAAUUACAGCCAGAGGUGCUAGAUUUUCCAUUCAUAGAAUCAUAGGAUUUAUCAUUAUUUUCUGUUAUUUAUUUAUUUAUUUAACUUUUUUCCCUUUUUCCUUUUGUCUUGGAUGAUGGGAUUGUCCAAUGGUUGGUUCUCACUCUCUCCAAUGAAUUUGGUGGAAAUCUCUUUUUUUUUAAGUUUCUUCUCAUAAAUGCCUUGUUCAGAACUUUGUACAGAUCGAAGCUGUGAAGCAAAUAUAAACUACCUUUUGUCCCCCUCUCUACAGAUGAAGAGGUUGAAGUUAAGGUAAAACAAUUGGAGCUCUGAAUCUUAUAAAUUUGAUGAAGUAUUUAUUGAAAGUGCUUCUCAGAAGUGAGUUUAUGAGGUAAUUGCAAAACCUGUCGCUGAGGUAAGUAUUGAAGGUGGGCAGUUUUGAAAGCUCAAUAACUUUGAGCUUCUGUGCUGAUAUUGCUAUGUACUAACAAAGCUACUAUACUUGGUUAUAGUGUUAAUUAGAUACUUGAUUAUAGUGUUAAUUAGGAAAGGAAUGGAUGGGUUGUUUUGUUUACCAAUAAAUUGGAAGAUUAAUAAAAAUUUACCUUUACUUUGUCUCUGUAAACAUCCCAGAAGCUCAGGCUUUUGAUGCUGUUAGUCUCACAGCAUAUAAAGCGUAAGAAAAUCAAAAGUCAAGGAAAUCAGGGUUUCCUUCCAACUGAAAUUGAUUGCAAAAGGACUCUAUUUUCAUGAAUUAUACAUUCUUUAUGAAGGUGACCUGCGUGGUUCUCUCCAUUCUCUGUCAUGCAAAUGUGUGUAGUUGGCACUGCCACUCUUUCUUUUGGCCCAGGGGUGGGGUGGGGUGUGGCCGGAGGCAAUUGAGUAGUAAGUAGGGGUAGUAAGUUAAUGCUGGUGUUUGGAAAUGUUGGCCUAUGGUAUCAACAUUCAUAACCACUUUACCGUCUAAACAAACUGAGUUGUUAAAUAAACUCAGAUUUCUGACAGAAAUGAGAGAAGCCAAACAUUAGCUGUGUUUUGAACCAUUUCUUCAUAUUAAGCUUUGCAAGAAGUGCAACAACUGUCCUUAAUUAACAAGGAUCCUCUCCUUUAAAAGAAUUUGUCUUGCUCCACAUCUUCUCGUUUUCAGCACUUAUGGAGAUUAACGCUUGUAAGUGAACCAAAUGUUGGCUUCUCUGCAUAGUUUGUACUCAUGUGUGUUGUUGAAUAGGUUAUUCAUGUUGAACAUAUGAUUCAUUUUAUUGAUCUGGCUAUUUCUAUUGUCUGUUUCUUCUAUAGUUGUAUUUGAAAUCCAUACAGGAUUUUCUGGCUCCCGAGAAGAAUAAUAUUUCUUUUGUAAAGGACCCGAAGAUAGGUGAAGUAUCAUUGCUUCGUGCUACUGUAGUUAAAGUUCAAGAUCUUGGCCAUUUUCUGCACUUACUGAAAAUUGGUGAGGCAAACCGCUAUGCAGAAAAUACAAAUAUGAAUAUGGAAUCUUCAUGUGGUCAUGCAAUUCUUAUGGUUUUUGUCCGAAGAUCAGUCCAAAGAAAAGCUGAGAAUGAAUGUUCUUCUCAAGAGAGGGAUAGUGGACUUGAUUUAGCUUCUUACCACGGUGUACCUACCGUUCUGUAAAGCAAGCUGCUGAUAGUGGACCUCCCAGGAUCUGAGAGAAUAGACAAAUCUAGUCAGGGUUUUAGUUAAUAUAUCUUAAGUUUUAUAUAAUAUUUGCCACAUUUAGAAUUCAUCACAGUCAAAUGGUAUCAAAAGCAUUCCAUGUAGUAUAAUGCUCAUUUUUAAGGCUACAAUCUUAAAUACUCAAGGGGACUUGCAGUUAUCUAGGCAUCCUUAUAGUUGUCCAACUUCCUCAGUAACAAAAUAUUACUCAUCAGGUUGUUUAAAUAUUCUUGAA